Molecule: ribosomal RNA, 392 nt
Filed under: uncultured Bacteroidota bacterium
Lineage: Bacteria; Pseudomonadati; Bacteroidota
Description: bacterial SSU rRNA
Rfam family: Bacterial small subunit ribosomal RNA
Source: RNAcentral
CCGGAUUUAUUGGGUUUAAAGGGUGCGCAGGCGGGAGAUUAAGUCGGCGGUGAAAUUUUGCAGAUCAACUGUAAAAGUGCCUUCGAUACUGGUUUCCUUGAGUGUGGAUGAAGUAGGCGGAAUUUGUGGUGUAGCGGUGAAAUGCUUAGAUAUCACGAGGAACUCCGAUUGCGCAGGCAGCUUACUAAACCACUACUGACGCUCAGGCCCGAAGGCGUGGGGAUCAAACAGGAUUAGAUACCCUGGUAGUCCACGCAGUAAAAGAUGAUUACUGGCUGUUUGCGAUACAAUGUAAGCGGCUGAGCGAAAGCGUUAAGUAAUCCACCUGGGGAGUACGUUCGCAAGAAUGAAACUCAAAGGAAUUGACGGGGGCCCGCACAAGCGGAGGAACA